CUCUAUGACUACUAUUAAUAGUUCAAUUCGUUUCAUAUCUUGUAAGUAACUGUAAUUAUAAAGGCUGGAUAAGCCUCAAGUCUGUGUUAUACCUUCUAUUUAUGUCAGAAGGUGCUAGGGAUCAUCUUGUAAUCAGUAGUACAAAUAGGAACACUGAAAUAUUGAUAUAAAAAAUUCAAAUUAAUGUAAUGACUGUGUUUUCUAUUCUGUCUAUACAUUAAUUUAAAAUUCUGUUGCAUCUUGCAAUGUUUUCUGUUGAAGGAUAUAUUCCAGCGUGUUUUGAUCUGUGAAUACUAAAUUGUUCAACACUGCUGAUUCCAUCCUUCUAGAAAGGAAUUUUCUUGUUACUGUAGUAUUUCUUUGAAAUACUAUUACAAAAUACAGUAUUUUGCUGCCCAGUACUAUAUUAUUGGGCAACAGAAGUUCUGAGCCUCAGUCAUAUCAGCAAGCCUCCUUUGUGACCUACAGGACGUGACUUGACCUGUAAGAUUUUGCUGCAUGAAAAAGGAGACACAUUCCUACAGCAGAAUGAAGAAAAGCAUCUCCCAGGAGAUUAAACUUUUCUAUUAAAGUGGUAUAGUGAACCCACCCAGUUAGUUUCUUUCCUAUGUCACUAAAUAUUUUGAAGGGUAUUUAAAGAUAUUAGCAGACUCUGUCAGAGGGACCAUGCAACACUAUCUAUAAUUUCUGUUGAGUCAGUGAAGUCAAGUGUACAUUUAACACAAAGCAGUGACAGGACUGUGUGUGCCCCACACUCAGCUACUGAAAUAAAUGUUACCAGCACUGCACACGUCAAACUGAUGCAACAACAAACCAUGUUUACACAUGUAUGUUCUGCCUUCUCCUUCUAGAACUGGAACCUGCUGCCAGGGGAACCUGCCACCCAGCAGGAAUAAACAGUGCCUGGGACAUCCCUGGCCAUCUCUCCCUUCAUGGGAAGAGCCACAGGGCAUGACUGCAUUCCCAAUGGACUGUGCCUUCCUCAGAAUCCUCAGCAAGAGGUUCCAGAAAUUUUAACAUGAACUCAUUUGCAAUUUUUAUGGAUGUAAAUCCAGUGAAUUCAGUGGAGAUACUUCUCGCUUACAGCAACAUCCAGGCAUCUACUGACAAAGGUGUGUGUGAUUUGUAAUAGGCCUUUGAUUACAAAAAUAUCUUUAAUACAAACAGCAGCAGCAUCAAAGCAGAAAGCAAGAUUUUGCUGACCAUAAACCUGAAAUUUUUAACAGCAGCAAUGUGUGACAACUAGAAUUGCUAUUUCAAUACAAUUACUACAUUCACUUAUUUUUCCUGAUGCACGUGGGCCAGCCCUGAAACAGCCUGAAAUUAUUUUUCUCACCUUGUCCUACAACCUUGCUUUGCCAAUACAUGCCUUGUUGUAGAUGACAAAAUACAUUAUAUAUUUUUUGGGGGGGAGGGGGGCGUGUGUGUUCUUAAUUCUUGUUCUGAUCUACAAAUGAAAAUCUUUACUUAAAAAAUUAGUGUCUAGAUACUGUUUUAUAUUGGUUCAUAUAGAAAGGCCAUGAUUGCUGUAAAAGAUUUGGACUGUCUAACUGAAGCUGAGAUACUUCAAAUAACAAAAAUGCAUCAAUACUACUUUAUUCUGCUGAAUGGUAGUCUCCCCCAUUAACAGCUAAAUUGAAAUUAACAGUAUUAACUGAAAAGAUCAAAAUAGUUUUGUUUAAAAGUUUUUCAUACAUAUCAACAAUAUAAGUAUUCAGCAUACUAGGAAAUCAGGUAGGACUCAAAUUUUUAACACUUCUUUUGAGCUGAGCUAGGAGCAGGUAUGUUCCAAACAGGAAAAAGAAAAAAUGCAACAAAACUCUGGAGCCUAUCUGUAGAGAAUUAAGAUUCUAAUAUUUUUUUAAAAUGUUGGCAAUUAAAGAACCUUGUAUCCAACAGGGAGUCAGAGAUCAGGGGUAACUUUCUGGAACCAACUGCCAACGUGUAGUCCUGUCAGCUAAACUUCACAAAGCCAGUUACCUCAGUAAUGCACGGGGCUUUCUUUCUGUAGAUACUA
This 2017-nucleotide long non-coding RNA is filed under the name Lonchura striata (white-rumped munia). RNAcentral describes it as "domestica (Bengalese finch) lncRNA (ENSLSDG00000008682.1)". The record is from RNAcentral. Lineage: Eukaryota; Metazoa; Chordata; Aves; Passeriformes; Estrildidae.